GACGAACGCUGGCGGCGUGCUUAACACAUGCAAGUCGAGCGGUAAGGCCCUUUCGGGGGUACGACGAGCGGCGAACGGGUGAGUAACACGUGGGUGACCUGCCCUCAGCUCUGGGAUAAGCCUGGGAAACCGGGUCUAAUACUGGAUAUGACUCCAUGACGCAUGUUGUGGGGUGGAAAGCCUUGUGCGGCUGAGGAUGGGCCCGCGGCCUAUCAGCUUGUUGGUGGGGUGAUGGCCUACCAAGGCGACGACGGGUAGCCGGCCUGAGAGGGCGACCGGCCACACUGGGACUGAGACACGGCCCAGACUCCUACGGGAGGCAGCAGUGGGGAAUCUUGCGCAAUGGGCGAAAGCCUGACGCAGCGACGCCGCGUGAGGGAUGACGGCCUCGGUGUAAC
This 398-nucleotide ribosomal RNA is filed under the name uncultured bacterium. RNAcentral's name for it is "bacterial SSU rRNA". It matches the Rfam family "Bacterial small subunit ribosomal RNA", at positions 28 to 429 of the family's 1533-position model. The record is from RNAcentral.